Molecule: ribosomal RNA, 430 nt
Filed under: Pseudomonadota bacterium
Lineage: Bacteria; Pseudomonadati; Pseudomonadota
Description: Proteobacteria bacterium partial 16S ribosomal RNA
Rfam family: Bacterial small subunit ribosomal RNA
Source: RNAcentral
UGGGGAAUAUUGGACAAUGGGGGGAACCCUGAUCCAGCCAUGCCGCGUGUGUGAAGAAGGCCUUAUGGUUGUAAAGCACUUUAAGCGAGGAGGAGGGUACUGGUAUUAAUACUACCAGGUACUGGACGUUACUCGCAGAAUAAGCACCGGCUAACUCUGUGCCAGCAGCCGCGGUAAUACAGAGGGUGCGAGCGUUAAUCGGAUUUACUGGGCGCAAAGCGUGCGUAGGCGGCUAAUUGAGUCGGAUGUGAAAUCCCCGAGCUUAACUUGGGAAUUGCAUUCGAUACUGGUUAGCUAGAGUGUGGGAGAGGAUGGUAGAAUUCCAGGUGUAGCGGUGAAAUGCGUAGAGAUCUGGAGGAAUACCGAUGGCGAAGGCAGCCAUCUGGCCUAACACUGACGCUGAGGUACGAAAGCAUGGGGAGCAAACAGG